Molecule: ribosomal RNA, 337 nt
Filed under: Centruroides meridionalis
Lineage: Eukaryota; Metazoa; Arthropoda; Arachnida; Scorpiones; Buthidae
Description: partial 12S ribosomal RNA
Source: RNAcentral
AAAAAAUAUAAAAUUUAGGUAGUAGUAGAUGGCUUGAAACUUAAAAAUUUUGGCGGUAUUUUAAUCUUAUCAGAGGAAUCUGUUUUGUAAUCGAUAAUACACGGCAAAUCUUACUUAAAUAAAAAGUUUGUAUAUCGUUGUGAUAAUAAUGUUUUAUAAUUAUUAUUGAAUAUAAUUUUAUUUUAUAUAUCAGAUCAAGGUUCAGCUUAUAUUUGAGUGAAAAAUGGGUUACAAUAUGAAAACAUAAUUACGGAUUUUAUCUUUAAAAGAUAAAUGAAGGUGGAUUUGGAAGUAUUCUUAUAAUAAUCUAUUAAGUUGAAAUAGCUCUAAAAUAUGC